GAAACCAAAUAAACACUACUGCUUUCACAAGUUCCACUCUUCACUGUAUAAACUGCAUGGUGCUUCUUCCCUCUCCUUUAUUUGCACAAGUUCUUCAGAUCCUAAAAAAUUACACGCAUGCACGUAAAUUAUUAGUUUGCCAUAACAUGUAAUAAAUUGAUACUGUUAUCUAGUACAAAGUAACGAAGAAGAUUUCAUAAUGCAUAUAUGAAUGCAUCCUAAAAUUAGCAAGAUUUUUUUUCCCUACACCCGUGUGCAUAUAUACUGUUAGAUAUGGAAAUUGAGAAACAAGAAAGUAAGGAAUAGAUCAUAAAGUAAUAAAUAUAAGAGGAAAGAAAGACAAAGGUUAAAAAAAAGUAUAAGAUAAAUGUAAAAUUUAGAAUAUAAAAAAACUAAUUAGGAUUCUUAUUAGAUCUUCUUAGCAGAACAAUAUUUAAGUAUCGAUUUAUAAGUCUCACUUUGACUUUGUAUAUGCUAUUUUUACACUUCUACAAAAGAGGGAGGAAGAGAAAAAACAAAAUGUGAGUUUUUCUUUUUUUGGAAUAAAAAAUAAAUGUACAAGGAAGGGUGAAGUUGUAACAGUGGGAAUUAUAUUUAUAACAUUAUAAUUUCAAUAAAUAAACAAAUGUUUUAUAUCAUAAUAGGAAACUUUGCUGGAUUUUAAAUUUUAAAUUAUAGUAGUAGUUAACUACAAUUACGAUUACAGUAUAUUAAUAUUCUAGAAUUUUAUGUAAUUGCAAUUUAAAACCUUGAUUGAAAUAAUUAAAAUGGACAAUAUAUAGAUUUUAUAUGAAGCUUACCAUGGGGCGCUAUACUAAAAUCACUAUCUAGUAGUGGUAUGGGGGAGGUGGUGAUGCAUAGACAUAGUGUGGAGGAGGUGGAGAUGGAUACUUGUAUGGUUUCUUAGGUGGUGGUGGAGGUGACUUGUAGUAGUAAGCUGGGGGUGGUGGAGAAGGGUACUUGUAUGGUGGAGGUGGAGGAGAAGAGUACUUGUAUGGAGGAGGAGGGGACUUGUACUUGUAUACUGGGGGUGGAGGAGAUGGGUAUUUGUAGGGUUUCUUAGGAGGUGGUGGAGGAGAAGGGUACUUGUAGGGUGGGGGUGGUGACUUGUAUUUGUAAACUGGUGGUGGUGGUGAUGGGUAUUUGUAGGGCUUCUUAGGUGGUGGUGGUGGGGACUUGUACUUGUAAACUGGUGGUGGUGGUGACUUGUAUUUGUAAACUGGAGGUGGGGGUGAUGGGUAUUUGUAGGGCUUUUUAGGUGGUGGUGGAGGAGAAGGGUACUUGUAGGGUGGUGGUGGUGACUUGUAUUUGUAAACUGGUGGUGGUGGUGAUGGGUAUUUGUAAGGCUUCUUAGGAGGUGGUGGAGGAGAUGAAUACUUGUAGGGUGGUGGUGGGGACUUGUACUUGUAAACUGGUGGUGGUGGAGAUGAAUAGUCGUACUUGUCAGCUGAGGCUUGAGAUGACAAGCUUAGAGAAACUAUUGCCAAUACAAGAGUGAGAGUAAGAGAGGCCAUUAGAGACCCCAUUUUCUCCCAACUUCAAAUAGGGUUU
RNAcentral lists this long non-coding RNA (1551 nucleotides) under Glycine max (soybean). Its description in RNAcentral is "long non-coding RNA (GMAX_LNC003740)". Lineage: Eukaryota; Viridiplantae; Streptophyta; Magnoliopsida; Fabales; Fabaceae. The record is from RNAcentral.